This 700-nucleotide ribosomal RNA is filed under the name Priestia endophytica. RNAcentral describes it as "bacterial SSU rRNA". It matches the Rfam family "Bacterial small subunit ribosomal RNA", at positions 114 to 798 of the family's 1533-position model. The record is from RNAcentral. Lineage: Bacteria; Bacillati; Bacillota; Bacilli; Caryophanales; Bacillaceae.
CACGUGGGCAACCUGCCCUUGAGACGGGGAUAACUCCGGGAAACCGGAGCUAAUACCGGAUAACACAUAUCUUCGCAUGAGGAUAUGUUAGAAGGUGGCUUUUAGCUACCACUCAAGGAUGGGCCCGCGGCGCAUUAGCUAGUUGGUGAGGUAACGGCUCACCAAGGCGACGAUGCGUAGCCGACCUGAGAGGGUGAUCGGCCACACUGGGACUGAGACACGGCCCAGACUCCUACGGGAGGCAGCAGUAGGGAAUCUUCCGCAAUGGACGAAAGUCUGACGGAGCAACGCCGCGUGAGUGAUGAAGGUUUUCGGAUCGUAAAGCUCUGUUGUUAGGGAAGAACAAGUACCUGUUGAAUAAGCAGGUACCUUGACGGUACCUAACCAGAAAGCCACGGCUAACUACGUGCCAGCAGCCGCGGUAAUACGUAGGUGGCAAGCGUUGUCCGGAAUUAUUGGGCGUAAAGCGCGCGCAGGCGGUUCCUUAAGUCUGAUGUGAAAGCCCACGGCUCAACCGUGGAGGGUCAUUGGAAACUGGGGAACUUGAGUGCAGAAGAGGAGAGCGGAAUUCCACGUGUAGCGGUGAAAUGCGUAGAGAUGUGGAGGAACACCAGUGGCGAAGGCGGCUCUCUGGUCUGUAACUGACGCUGAGGCGCGAAAGCGUGGGGAGCGAACAGGAUUAGAUACCCUGGUAGUCCAC